RNAcentral lists this ribosomal RNA (253 nucleotides) under uncultured bacterium. RNAcentral describes it as "partial 16S ribosomal RNA". It matches the Rfam family "Bacterial small subunit ribosomal RNA", at positions 524 to 776 of the family's 1533-position model. The record is from RNAcentral.
UACGUAGGGGGCUAGCGUUGUCCGGAUUUAUUGGGCGUAAAGAGCGUGUAGGCGGCCCGGUAAGUCCGCUGUGAAAGUCGGGGGCUCAACCCUCGAAUGCCGGUGGAUACUGUCGGGCUAGAGUGCGGAAGAGGCGAGUGGAAUUCCAGGUGUAGCGGUGAAAUGCGUAGAUAUCUGGAGGAACACCGGUGGCGAAGGCGGGUCUCUGGGCAACAACUGACGCUGAGGAGCGAAAGCGUGGGGAGCGAACAGG